Molecule: ribosomal RNA, 691 nt
Filed under: uncultured bacterium
Lineage: Bacteria
Description: bacterial SSU rRNA
Rfam family: Bacterial small subunit ribosomal RNA
Source: RNAcentral
CAGUCGAACGAAGCACUUUAUUUGAUUUCCUUCGGGACUGAUUAUUUUGUCACUGAGUGGCGGACGGGUGAGUAACGCGUGGGUAACCUGCCUUGUACAGGGGGAUAACAGUUGGAAACGGCUGCUAAUACCGCAUAAGCGCACAGCAUCGCAUGAUGCAGUGUGAAAAACUCCGGUGGUAUAAGAUGGACCCGCGUUGGAUUAGCUAGUUGGUGAGGUAACGGCCCACCAAGGCGACGAUCCAUAGCCGACCUGAGAGGGUGACCGGCCACAUUGGGACUGAGACACGGCCCAAACUCCUACGGGAGGCAGCAGUGGGGAAUAUUGCACAAUGGGGGAAACCCUGAUGCAGCGACGCCGCGUGGAGGAAGAAGGUCUUCGGAUUGUAAACUCCUGUUGUUGAGGAAGAUAAUGACGGUACUCAACAAGGAAGUGACGGCUAACUACGUGCCAGCAGCCGCGGUAAAACGUAGGUCACAAGCGUUGUCCGGAAUUACUGGGUGUAAAGGGAGCGCAGGCGGGAGAACAAGUUGGAAGUGAAAUCCAUGGGCUCAACCCAUGAACUGCUUUCAAAACUGUUUUUCUUGAGUAGUGCAGAGGUAGGCGGAAUUCCCGGUGUAGCGGUGGAAUGCGUAGAUAUCGGGAGGAACACCAGUGGCGAAGGCGGCCUACUGGGCACCAACUGACGCUG